Molecule: transfer RNA, 83 nt
Organism: Suillus luteus
Lineage: Eukaryota; Fungi; Basidiomycota; Agaricomycetes; Boletales; Suillaceae
Rfam family: tRNA
About the family: Transfer RNA (tRNA) molecules are approximately 80 nucleotides in length.
Source: Rfam
GGCGAUAUAGUGUAGUGGUUAUCACUCGGGAUUCUGACAAAUGCUGAUUUCCCGAAACCCAGGUUCGAGCCCUGGUAUCGCCU